GCGGAUUUAGCUUAAUGGUACAGCGUCAGUCUUCCAGACUGGAGAUGGAGGUUCGAAUCCUUCAAUCCGCUCA
Molecule: transfer RNA, 73 nt
Filed under: Caudoviricetes sp.
Lineage: Duplodnaviria; Heunggongvirae; Uroviricota; Caudoviricetes
Description: tRNA-Gly
Rfam family: tRNA
About the family: Transfer RNA (tRNA) molecules are approximately 80 nucleotides in length. Their secondary structure includes four short double-helical elements and three loops (D, anti-codon, and T loops).
Source: RNAcentral